AAAACAUUGGGGGGGUUUCUUGAUUUGAAAACUGAGGAGAGUUUUUUGGAAUACAAAAAAAAAAGGAGAGAAAGAGGUAAAAGAGAGGGAUGUAGACAAAUCAAGGAAACAGAAAUGUUAUUGUACUGUCUACUCUUUUGGAUUUCGAUGUCGCUCAUGUGCCCUCUCAAUUCCCGUAGGGUGAUUUUUCUUUUUCCGGUUCAAAACCCUUACGACUAUAUACGUUACGGCUAGUACGUGUCAUCUGAAAGUGUACCGUAUUCAAAUUUACGUCCAACUGAAAUAUAGACGAUAUUAUCGUAAUUUUCUUUAAUGAAUUUAAAUUUAUUCAGCUAAAAAAACUUUUUACAUCUAGUGCUUUCUGUUUUAAGAAUUAAAGAAUCAAAACUGAAAAACUUCUAUCUAUGGUGUGCAGUGUGCUUCGUGUACUAUUAAAUAACAAUUAAGGCUCAGCAAAAAAAAUUGGAUCUAAAGAAACGAAUCAAAUACGAUUCAAAAAAGUUCAAUCUCUCUUGAAUCAAAACUGGUAAAAAUAUCCAAACGCAUCCAGAAUUUUAGUUUCUCAAAAUUUGGAUCUAAAUUCGAUCUAAAAGAAAAUAUUUCGGAUACCUAAGAUAAUUGAAUCACAAUAAUAUAUUUAAAUAUAUUAAUUAUAUUUAGAUAUAUUUAAAAAAAAUUUCUGAAUUAUCCAAAAUACAUUUAAAAAAAAUAAAAGUAAACAUAAAAAAUACUCAAAACACUAGAAAUACCUUAAAUAUCUACAGGUUCUCCAUCCAAAUAUUUAAACUGAAUUAACUUUCAUGAAAGUUUUAGAUUUUUAACAUAUAUUGUUCAAAUUUAUAUACUGUACACAAUUUUUUUUUUUUUUAGAUUUAGGGUACACUGAAAUAUUAAUUUUAUAUAAUAUAAGUGGAUAUCCGAACUUGAACGGAAACUGCAAAAAUCUAAACUAAAUCUGAAUCGAAAUUUAUAAAUACUCAAAUAGACUUAACUAUAUAACCAUAAAAAUUUGAAACUCGAAUAGACCAAAACCAUACAUGUACUCAGAUGCCCACCUCUAUCAUACAUAUAAGUACAUCACUUAUAAGUAAAACAACCACUUAUAAGUCUAAGGUCGAUUAUAUAUCACCUAAUUUAAUAUCAAUUAUAUGAGGUUAAUGUUAAAAAGAAAAGUGAUAUGCUCCUUAAAAUAUUGGAGCUACAUUGUUUUAAGAAAAUGUUUUUUUUGUUUUAUUAUAUUCUCAUGAUAAAGCAUUGAUGUUAUAAGUGAAGAAAUAAACAAUAACUUUCUGAAGGCCAGUUUCAAAAAAGAAAACAAUAACUUUUUUUUGACAAAAAAUAACUUUUUUGACAAAAAUAACUUUUUUGACAAAAAAUAACUUUCAUCGUUUAUACAUUUAACAUUUAUAUUCUUCAUACUAAAUGGAUAUGGUCAAUAGCCAUCACAUCAUCUUCAUUAUCGUGUAUCAAAUGAUCACAAACAUGCCUCUCAAUAUCUCAAAGCACCUCCAACGCAGGCUCAUAACAAGUCCUUAACCCAAAUCCUUAAGGUAAAAGGAUUAAAAAAAUAUUAAAAAAAUUUGUGUACCUGAGAAUUGAUCCUUAAUUAAGAGGAUUAUGAGACUGAUCCUUAGUGCGCUGGCAUGACGCUAUUGGUUCUAGAGUUCCUUGUCUCUUUCUUCCUCUCGUUGAAUUUUUCUCAGAAAUUUGGUUUGAUCGACGAAGAGAGAAAAAAAUGGGGCAACAGCAAUCGAAAGAGGAAUUGCUGUUUCAGCAAGUGAGAUACGGUAAGGCUGAAGGGAUCGAUCUCUUCGUCGCGAAGGAGCUGACCUCGAGUGGAUGGAUAGAGAAGCUAAAACGCCUUUGAUAAUGGCUUGCAUGAACUCCGAGCUUUACGAUCCAAGACUUUGAUCGAGUUGGGUGCUACUGUUAAUGCUUAUCGUCCUGGUACGACUUGAAUCAAAUUGAUUAAGCAGAGUCUCUCUGUCUUUAGCAUGCGCUAUACCAAAAUCUAGUUCUUGAAAUGUUGAUAACCGGGUUGAGAAGACUCUUUCUACUACUCUCUGAUUAACUGAACUGAACGAGGAGAGGCGGAGCUUGAAAGCUGAGGCAGCUAAGGUUAGAGCUGAGGCACGCAAGAUAUUCCAGGAAGAGUUAAGGAAAACGCUGUUGCAGAUGAAUGAAAGGGAGGAAAAGCUGGAAUAUUUGAGAAUGAAGGGACAAAAAAGGGAAGAUGAGAAGAAAGCGAGGAAGAAGCUGGUGCAUGAGCAGAGUUCAUUGUGGAUCGAGCCUUAAGAAAUUGAGAAGGGAGGCCCUGCUUGACUCCACUUCUCUCUGCUGAAAGAGACUACUCCUCUUCUUCAAAUUGAGAGAAAUCAAAGACGUUUUUAGUCUUUUUGCAUUUGGUAGAUAAGUUCAAAACAUAUGCAUUUCACAUUAUAAUUUUUUAACUCAAUGCAAUUGACAAUAUUGUUUCACUUCUAAACAUAUGCAUUUCACACUAUAAUUUUUUUUUCCUAAGGAUUCCUAAAUGGAGUACACCAUUGGACUGA
Molecule: long non-coding RNA, 2552 nt
Organism: Raphanus sativus (radish)
Lineage: Eukaryota; Viridiplantae; Streptophyta; Magnoliopsida; Brassicales; Brassicaceae
Exons: 5
Source: RefSeq, a predicted model, not a curated record